RNAcentral lists this non-coding RNA (20 nucleotides) under Rattus norvegicus (Norway rat). The record is from RNAcentral. Lineage: Eukaryota; Metazoa; Chordata; Mammalia; Rodentia; Muridae.
UUUUGAAGGCAACAUUGAGA